UACGUAGGCAGCAGGCGUUGUUCGGAGUUACUGGGCGUAAAGGGUGCGUAGGCGGCUUCUUAAGUCUGGUGUGAAAUCUCCCGGCUCAACUGGGAGGGUGCGCCGGAUACUGAGGGGCUAGAGUGUGGGAGAGGAAAGUGGAAUUCCUGGUGUAGCGGUGAAAUGCGUAGAUAUCAGGAGGAACACCGGUGGUGUAAACGGCUUUCUGGACCAUAACUGACGCUGAGGCACGAAAGCGUGGGUAGCAAACAGG
Molecule: ribosomal RNA, 253 nt
Filed under: uncultured bacterium
Lineage: Bacteria
Description: partial 16S ribosomal RNA
Rfam family: Bacterial small subunit ribosomal RNA
Source: RNAcentral